RNAcentral lists this ribosomal RNA (510 nucleotides) under uncultured bacterium. RNAcentral's name for it is "bacterial SSU rRNA". It matches the Rfam family "Bacterial small subunit ribosomal RNA", at positions 501 to 1009 of the family's 1533-position model. The record is from RNAcentral.
CUACGUGCCAGCAGCCGCGGUAAUACGUAGGUGGCAAGCGUUGUCCGGAAUUAUUGGGCGUAAAGGGCGCGCAGGCGGCUUCUUAAGUCUGUCUUAAAAGUGCGGGGCUUAACCCCGUGAUGGGAUGGAAACUGGGAAGCUCAGAGUAUCGGAGAGGAAAGCGGAAUUCCUAGUGUAGCGGUGAAAUGCGUAGAUAUUAGGAGGAACACCAGUGGCGAAAGCGGCUUUCUGGACGAAAACUGACGCUGAGGCGCGAAAGCCAGGGGAGCGAACGGGAUUAGAUACCCCGGUAGUCCUGGCCGUAAACGAUGGGUACUAGGUGUAGGAGGUAUCGACCCCCUCUGUGCCGGAGUUAACGCAAUAAGUACCCCGCCUGGGGAGUACGGCCGCAAGGUUGAAACUCAAAGAAAUUGACGGGGACCCGCACAAGCGGUGGAGCAUGUGGUUUAAUUCGACGCAACGCGAAGAACCUUACCAGGUCUUGACAUUGAUGGACAGAACUAGAGAUAG